GCAAUGGUGGUUCAGUAGUAGAAAUCUUGUCUUCCAUGUGGGAGACCUGGGUUCAAUUCCUGGCCAAGGCA
This 71-nucleotide transfer RNA is filed under the name Loxodonta africana (African savanna elephant). It matches the Rfam family "tRNA". Rfam says of the family: Transfer RNA (tRNA) molecules are approximately 80 nucleotides in length. Their secondary structure includes four short double-helical elements and three loops (D, anti-codon, and T loops). Lineage: Eukaryota; Metazoa; Chordata; Mammalia; Proboscidea; Elephantidae. The record is from Rfam by way of RNAcentral.